RNAcentral lists this ribosomal RNA (468 nucleotides) under uncultured bacterium. Its description in RNAcentral is "partial 16S ribosomal RNA". It matches the Rfam family "Bacterial small subunit ribosomal RNA", at positions 28 to 507 of the family's 1533-position model. The record is from RNAcentral.
GACGAACGCUGGCGGCGUGCUUAACACAUGCAAGUCGAGCGGAAAGGCCCUGCUUUUGUGGGGUGCUCGAGUGGCGAACGGGUGAGUAACACGUGAGUAACCUGCCCUUGACUUUGGGAUAACUUCAGGAAACUGGGACUAAUACCGGAUAGGAGCUCCUGCUGCAUGGUGGGGGUUGGAAAGUUUCGGCGGUUGGGGAUGGACUCGCGGCUUAUCAGCUUGUUGGUGGGGUAGUGGCUUACCAAGGCUUUGACGGGUAGCCGGCCUGAGAGGGUGACCGGCCACAUUGGGACUGAGAUACGGCCCAGACUCCUACGGGAGGCAGCAGUGGGGAAUAUUGCACAAUGGGCGGAAGCCUGAUGCAGCAACGCCGCGUGCGGGAUGACGGCCUUCGGGUUGUAAACCGCUUUCGCCUGUGACGAAGCGUGAGUGACGGUAAUGGGUAAAGAAGCACCGGCUAACUACGUG